GAGUUUGAUCCUGGCUCAGAUUGAACGCUGGCGGAAUGCUUUACACAUGCAAGUCGAACGGCAGCACGGGAGCUUGCUCCUGGUGGCGAGUGGCGAACGGGUGAGUAAUGCGUCGGAACGUACCGAGUAAUGGGGGAUAACGCAGCGAAAGCUGUGCUAAUACCGCAUACGCCCUGAGGGGGAAAGCAGGGGAUCGCAAGACCUUGCGUUAUUCGAGCGGCCGACGUCUGAUUAGCUAGUUGGUGGGGUAAAGGCCUACCAAGGCGACGAUCAGUAGCGGGUCUGAGAGGAUGAUCCGCCACACUGGAACUGAGACACGGUCCAGACUCCUACGGGAGGCAGCAGUGGGGAAUUUUGGACAAUGGGGGAAACCCUGAUCCAGCCAUUCCGCGUGAGUGAAGAAGGCCUUCGGGUUGUAAAGCUCUUUCAGCUGGAAAGAAACGGUGCGCUCUAACAUAGCGUGCUAAUGACGGUACCAGCAGAAGAAGCACCGGCUAACUACGUGCCAGCAGCCGCGGUAAUACGUAGGGUGCGAGCGUUAAUCGGAAUUACUGGGCGUAAAGCGUGCGCAGGCGGAUUGUUAAGCAAGAUGUGAAAUCCCCGGGCUUAACCUGGGAAUGGCAUUUUGAACUGGCAGUCUAGAGUGCGUCAGAGGGGGGUGGAAUUCCACGUGUAGCAGUGAAAUGCGUAGAUAUGUGGAGGAACACCAAUGGCGAAGGCAGCCCCCUGGGAUGACACUGACGCUCAUGUACGAAAGCGUGGGUAGCAAACAGGAUUAGAUACCCUGGUAGUCG
This 794-nucleotide ribosomal RNA is filed under the name uncultured bacterium. RNAcentral describes it as "bacterial SSU rRNA". It matches the Rfam family "Bacterial small subunit ribosomal RNA", at positions 9 to 796 of the family's 1533-position model. The record is from RNAcentral.